RNAcentral lists this long non-coding RNA (2338 nucleotides) under Homo sapiens (human). Its description in RNAcentral is "HSALNT0160493". Lineage: Eukaryota; Metazoa; Chordata; Mammalia; Primates; Hominidae. The record is from RNAcentral.
AAGAAACCAUCCUGGAUUUGUAAGAAUAUUCCCUGCCUCUCACCUCAUGCCUUCUUCUUCUUCUUUUUUUUCUUUUUCUUGAGAUGGAGUCUCACUUUGUCACCCAGGCUGGAGUGCAGUGGCGAUCAAUCUUGGCUCACUGUAGCCUCCACCUCCCAGGCUCAAGCAAUCAUCCCACCUCAGCCUCCUGAGUAGCUGGGACCACAGGCGCGCACCACCACACCUGGCUAAUGUUUUGCACUUUUGGUAGAGACAGUAUUUCCUCAUGUUGCCCAGACUGGUCUGGAACUCCUGGCCUAUAGUGAUCUGCCUUCCUUGGCUUCCCAAAGUGCUGGGAUUACAGGCAUGAGUCACCAUGUCCGGCCACACUUCUUGUCUUCUGUUUAAUGCUGAAUGUUAUAGCAAAGGCUAAGAAAAUGUAUUUCAUGGCCCUUGGUUCAAAAUUUCAGGAAGCUCAGAUCCUAAGAUAGCAGAGAGGAAGGAGACCUGAAACAUUUUCAAAAGUCAAAUAACUAUCAUACUCAGUCUAUUCAAAUGAGUAAUCAAAUUUCCCUAUCAAAACAAGGCUAAGGGUUUUUUUCCUCCCUGUACGGAAAUAGGUUUUCAAAGGUAACAGAAAAGUUUGCAGAGUUAUGUUUAAGUGUUUGUGUCUGCAAUCACAGUUUUUCUUUUUUGUUUUUGGAGACAGGGUCUCACUCUGUUGACCAGGGUGAGGAGUGUAGUGGCAUGAUCAUAGUUCACUGCAACCUCUGCCUCCCUCCCAGACUCAAGCAAUCCUCUGGCCUCAGCCUCACCAAGUAGCUAGGACUACAGAUUCAUGACUUCAAUUGAGAGAUGAGUUUCAAGCCACCUUUCAAGGAAUCCUGGGUAGAAUGAAAUCUGUUCCAUGGAAUCUUAAGAAGAAGAAGAAAAAAAAUCAAGAUCCCUGUGGGCAAAGUCAUUUGCUGUCAUGCUUGGAAGGAGUAGAACCAAGUGUUUAUGAGCAUGGACUUUGGAGUCAGGAUACUCUCCUGAUAUACCACGAUGCAGAAUGUCAAGUAGGAAAAGAAGCUGUUGCAUUGGGCAAUUAAGAAGUCAUUGGUGAGAGAAGUUUCAGUCUGAAGUGGAAUCAUAGUAAAUUACAGAAAAAUAGUCUUUGGAGAGAGAAGGAAUCUGGUUAAUCCACAGGCCACACAAUCAUGGUUGAAAAUUAGUGAAUGAGCGAAUGAUGGAUCCAUCUCUUGAAGCAAUACUUGAAUCGCAGAAUUCUUAUAUUGAUAGAAGCAGAAGGAAACCAGAAGUGCUCCAAUUAAAGGCCUCCAUUUUUCAGAUCAGCAGACUAUGAGCCAUGCAUAGGAUCACACACAGGUGUGGUAGAGCAGGGACCAUGACUCUUGGUCCUGUGUUAUUUCCGUUUCUGCGUGCCAAUGCCUACUCUAUGGCUGCUGGAGAGGGAGGAGGUUGGGGAAGGUGGAAACACCUGGAGUGGAAAAGAGAAGUGCUGGGAACAGAGGACACUAGUGCCUUCAGCACAUCCCAUCUUCCCAUUGCCACUCAGCUGACCUAUCAGCAAAGGUGGGAGUGAAAGUUACAGGGAUUCUGGGCCAGGUGCAGUGGCUCAUGGCUGUAAUCCCAGCACUUUGAGAGGCCGAGGCGGGCAGAUCACCUGAGGUCAGGAGUUUGAGACCAGCCUGGCCAACAUGGUGAAAUCCCGUCUCUACUAAAAAUACAAAAAUUAGCCGGGCAUGGUGGCACCCGCCUGUAAAUCCGGCUACUUAGGAGGCUAAGGCAGGGGAAUUGCUUGAAUCCAGGAGGUGGAGGUUGCAGUGAGCUGAGAUCAUGCCACUGCACUCCUGCCUGGGCGACAGCAAGACUCCAUCUCAAAAAAAAAAAAAAAAUUACUGGGAUUCUGGAAGGGAGAGGAAUAAAAAUGAUGUGUGGGACAUACCAAAUAGAGUGGGCGGGGCAUCAAGACUUCCCCCCAACUUUCCAUCAUAAAUUUAGAGUGCCUUUUCUUUUUCUGUAGCUCUUUUAAAAAUUAUGAGCCACUCAGCCUCGGCCUCCGGAGGUGCCGGGAUUGCAGACGGUGUCUGGUUCACUCAGUGCUCAAUGGUGCCCAGGCUGGAGUGCAGUGGCGUGAUCUCGGCUCGCUACAACCUCCACCUCCCAGCCGCCUGCCUUGGCCUCCCAAAGUGCCCAGAGUGCAGCCUCUGCCCGGCCGCCACCCCGUCUGGGAAGUGAGGGGCGUCUCUGCCUGGCCGCCCAUCGCUAAUCUCAAGUACCCAGGGACACAAACACUGUGGAAGGCCGCAGGAUCCUCUGCCUAGGAAAACCAGAGACCUUUGUUCACUUGUUUAUC